Molecule: long non-coding RNA, 1592 nt
Organism: Myotis daubentonii (Daubenton's bat)
Lineage: Eukaryota; Metazoa; Chordata; Mammalia; Chiroptera; Vespertilionidae
Source: RefSeq, a predicted model, not a curated record
GCGAGCCGAGGGGCGGGGCGGCUGGCGACCGGGAGCGUCCGUGGUGACCGAGUUCAGGAAAGUAGCAGUCAUGCCUCCUCUUAGGUGAGGGGUAUUUCAGUGGCCGUAGACAUUAAUAUGAGCCUAUCAUUAUAUGACCUGAAGAGAUCUGAUGGGCAUGAAUUCAAAAGCCUGAUGAAUGAAUGUUGGUGAGGAGAUGAAGCUUGUAUACUGAGCUGAUGGAAAUGUCAUCUGGCACAACCAUUUGGGAAAAGAAGGUGGCAUUCUGGUCUGGCCUCAAUGCCCGUGACACCGCCUGAGACCCGAAGCGCCCUUGCUUUCUCCUCUCCUGGUGCCAUGGAUGCUGCAGUCUCCUCCACGCUCGGGACAUGCUCCUGAAGCUGAGAUGCCCUCACCCCUAUGCACACCCACGGGCCUGUCUUCUGUCUCCAGCAAAGGAAAGGAUUCAGAGGUGCCAGCCCACAGGCUUCUCUUCUGCGUUACUGCUCUUGACAGCCACCAGGAGGAGCCACACGUCUCCCAGGCUGGAUGAGCAGUCUUCCAGGUGGAAGCAGGAGGAUACAAUUCCCAUGCCAGGAAUGCUUCUUGUCACUGGAUAAAGCCCAAAUCUCCAUAAUACAGCCUUCUGUUUUUAUACGACCACGAAUUCUUGAUAUCUUUGACUCCCCAGUAAGCAUGCAAUUUCCAAAUGUAAACUAUCCCUAAAUUAUAGUUUUCCCCAACUCUAAGUAUGCGGCAAACAUACCUGUUCCUCUCUUGUGUUUAUGAAAACGAGAUGUGAAGACUUUUCUUCACAGAAAAGUUUCGCAUCCUCAAAAAUUUCUUUCUCGACCGAAAAAUAGUAGCAUUUGUCUGUGAAGUUCUUCCAGUGAGGCGGGCAGCCUAGGAGUGCAAAGGUUCACAACACUGAUUAAAAACAAAACAGGAAAAGCACCGUGCUUCUUCAGCUGUGUGCAAGAGGCCCUGCUUCCCGCACAGGCCUGGAGCAGCCCCGUGUCCGUGUGUGGAGCCCGGACGUGCUGGGAGCAAAGACAAGUACAGGGAGCUGCAAUUAUGGUUAAAACUACAUAAUCUGGAAAAUGUCUAUGCUUUGUUCUUCUGCAUCCAGAUUAGUCCUUACAAUGACAGAAACAACAACCCAAGGCAGGGCAGGCACAGAUGGUCACCGUCAGCCUGGGGUCAUAUGGAACCUAUAGACAACUGCAUGGGAGAACCCGGAACCUAAUCGGGCUCACAGAACAGCAGAGAUGACCCGAGUGGUACUGAAGGAAAUCAAGUGAAAUUGGGUGUGGGUCCAAAGAGAGAAAAAUAGGCUUGGGUGCAAACCCAGCAUUUAAGAAUUUACCAAAGGCUUAAUUAUGAAAAGGGCUAGAAGUCACCAUAAUACCUUCUCAGAAGCCAUGAAAUCUGGGCUUCAGUAACACAAAGUUCCACCUGCAUGUUAAGUGAGGGACGUCCGUCCCCAGGUGAAGGGCAUAAAGUGAGGACAGGAUGGGUCGGGAGUGGCCAGCCUUGGACUUUCAUGAAGGAAAUGUCUGGGGACAAGUUUGUCCCUGAGGGCCGACUCAGUUAAAUAAACAAGGGCUAGAGAA